AACGUAAUUGUUGAAAUGAAUGCUUGGGUCAUAUGGUAACUCUGUGUUUAACUUUUUAAGGAGCUGCCAAAUGGUUUGUCUUAUUUUUUUAUAAGAAGAAUAUAUUCAUGUACUAUUUUUGUAGUUAUGAAUCAAUUUUUAAAUUACUUUAAAAAUAGACCAGAAAGUAUUAGAGGGGAUGCUAAGAAGUGUGUAUAUCCAGUGCUAAUUGUGUCCUCUGGAACUCCCCAAGUUCUGUUGCUUUUUAAUUUUCGAUAAAGUCAUAGAAGCCAGACAGUAGAGGAGCUGUGUCCCUUCUAUCAGAGUCUCUAACAGAAAAGCUGGAGUAGAAGGUGGACUCCUUCUUCACAUCCAUCUCAGCUGUUUCCUCCCCAGCAAGAUGGGAUCUUCCCUGUUCUGAUCUCAGAGCAUGUUGAUUGAGACUCUUCACUUUCAGCACAUUCUGCCAAGGCACUGAUAGUGUAUAUACCUCUCUCCCGCUAGAUUUAGAAAAAGUCUUGUGCUCCUGUUUGUAGCCCCCAUAGAGCAUAUGCUCAGUAUAUAACCAUUAAAUAAUAAUCUGAAUUAUAUUAACAUCCUGAGACUUUUCUGCUUGAUAAUAAGAGGAAAAUUCCUUUGUGACCAAGAUCCCUAGUUCGUGUCUCUGUUAUGUGGAGUUGCUCACUCUUCUGUUUCUAACCAAGGCUGUAUGGUUUAAGGCAAGGUUUUAAAGAGCUGAUUUUUUUUUUCUUUUUAACAAAGUGAAAGUAAGCAGGACUAGUUGUGGGAAUAGGGUUAAUGCAUCACUUAUCAUGAAGCUAUAUUAUCUAAGCGUAUCCAUAACUCUGCGGGCAGGAGGUUGGUAGAGAGCAUCUGAGGAAAGAUUAGAGAAAUUAUUUUCUUAGAAUAUAUUGUGAAUAAAUUGUUUAUGUGUUAUGUAUGUAAACACACACAUAUAUAGGUAUAUAGAGAAAAACACGUAUGGAUUUGCCUGUUAUACACAGAUUUGUCCAUUCAUGUGUACGUGGAUACUGUUCUGAGCAUGUCUUGUGUAUUAUUUAAUCUUCACAGCAGCCCUAUGAGAUGGGCACUUCUAUUUUCUCUAUUUUAUGGUUAAGGAACUGAGGAAUAGGGAAAUGAGGAAAUUUGCUAAGUUUUCUCC
RNAcentral lists this long non-coding RNA (1141 nucleotides) under Sus scrofa (pig). RNAcentral describes it as "lncRNA (ENSSSCG00015073321.1)". Lineage: Eukaryota; Metazoa; Chordata; Mammalia; Artiodactyla; Suidae. The record is from RNAcentral.